RNAcentral lists this ribosomal RNA (468 nucleotides) under uncultured bacterium. RNAcentral's name for it is "partial 16S ribosomal RNA". It matches the Rfam family "Bacterial small subunit ribosomal RNA", at positions 28 to 507 of the family's 1533-position model. The record is from RNAcentral.
GACGAACGCUGGCGGCGUGCUUAACACAUGCAAGUCGAACGGAAAGGCCCUGCUUUUGUGGGGUGCUCGAGUGGCGAACGGGUGAGUAACACGUGAGUAACCUGCCCUUGACUUUGGGAUAACUUCAGGAAACUGGGGCUAAUACCGGAUAGGAGCUCCUGCUGCAUGGUGGGGGUUGGAAAGUUUCGGCGAUUGGGGAUGGACUCGCGGCUUAUCAGCUUGUUGGUGGGGUAGUGGCUUACCAAGGCUUUGACGGGUAGCCGGCCUGAGAGGGUGACCGGCCACAUUGGGACUGAGAUACGGCCCAGACUCCUACGGGAGGCAGCAGUGGGGAAUAUUGCACAAUGGGCGGAAGCCUGAUGCAGCAACGCCGUGUGCGGGAUGACGGCCUUCGGGUUGUAAACCGCUUUCGCCUGUGACGAAGCGUGAGUGACGGUAAUGGGUAAAGAAGCACCGGCUAACUACGUG